RNAcentral lists this ribosomal RNA (1164 nucleotides) under Salmonella enterica subsp. enterica serovar Muenchen. RNAcentral describes it as "partial 23S ribosomal RNA". It matches the Rfam family "Bacterial large subunit ribosomal RNA", at positions 711 to 1781 of the family's 2925-position model. The record is from RNAcentral. Lineage: Bacteria; Pseudomonadati; Pseudomonadota; Gammaproteobacteria; Enterobacterales; Enterobacteriaceae.
AGACCCGAAACCCGGUGAUCUAGCCAUGGGCAGGUUGAAGGUUGGGUAACACUAACUGGAGGACCGAACCGACUAAUGUUGAAAAAUUAGCGGAUGACCUGUGGCUGGGGGUGAAAGGCCAAUCAAACCGGGAGAUAGCUGGUUCUCCCCGAAAGCUAUUUAGGUAGCGCCUCGUGAAUUCAUCUCCGGGGGUAGAGCACUGUUUCGGCUAGGGGGCCAUCCCGGCUUACCAACCCGAUGCAAACUGCGAAUACCGGAGAAUGUUAUCACGGGAGACACACGGCGGGUGCUAACGUCCGUCGUGAAGAGGGAAACAACCCAGACCGCCAGCUAAGGUCCCAAAGUCAUGGUUAAGUGGGAAACGAUGUGGGAAGGCCCAGACAGCCAGGAUGUUGGCUUAGAAGCAGCCAUCAUUUAAAGAAAGCGUAAUAGCUCACUGGUCGAGUCGGCCUGCGCGGAAGAUGUAACGGGGCUAAACCAUGCACCGAAGCUGCGGCAGCGAACGUAUCACCCAAGACAACUUUGCGGAGUUGACGAUUGACGGAGCGAAGCGACGUCAAAGCGUUCAUUAAAGUCGAGUUGGCUUAGGGAUACGUUCGUUGGGUAGGGGAGCGUUCUGUAAGCCUGUGAAGGUGGCCUGUGAGGGUUGCUGGAGGUAUCAGAAGUGCGAAUGCUGACAUAAGUAACGAUAAAGCGGGUGAAAAGCCCGCUCGCCGGAAGACCAAGGGUUCCUGUCCAACGUUAAUCGGGGCAGGGUGAGUCGACCCCUAAGGCGAGGCCGAAAGGCGUAGUCGAUGGGAAACGGGUUAAUAUUCCCGUACUUGGUGUUACUGCGAAGGGGGGACGGAGAAGGCUAUGUUGGCCGGGCGACGGUUGUCCCGGUUUAAGCGUGUAGGUGUGUGUUCCAGGUAAAUCCGGUUCACUUUAACACUGAGGCGUGACGACGAGGCACUACGGUGCUGAAGCAACAAAUGCCCUGCUUCCAGGAAAAGCCUCUAAGCAUCAGGUAACAUCAAAUCGUACCCCAAACCGACACAGGUGGUCAGGUAGAGAAUACCAAGGCGCUUGAGAGAACUCGGGUGAAGGAACUAGGCAAAAUGGUGCCGUAACUUCGGGAGAAGGCACGCUGACACGUAGGUGAAGUGAUUUACUCAUGGAGCUGAA